AAACGGGUGCGGAACACGUACGCAACUUACCCUGAACUGGGGGAUAGCCCACCGAAAGGUGGAUUAAUACCUCGUAACAUCUUGUAGUGGCAUCACUGUAAGAUUAUAGCUCCGGCGGUUCAGGAUGGGCGUGCGGCCCAUUAGGUAGUUGGUAGAGGUAACGGCUCACCAAGCCUGCGAUGGGUAACUGGUGUGAGAGCACGACCAGUCACACGGGCACUGAGACACGGGCCCG
Molecule: ribosomal RNA, 235 nt
Filed under: uncultured bacterium
Lineage: Bacteria
Description: partial 16S ribosomal RNA
Rfam family: Bacterial small subunit ribosomal RNA
Source: RNAcentral